GUAGCCAAUAAGAUCUGUUCAUGAAAAUGAUUCUAGCAGGAAAUAUCAGUCCGUUUCUUCAAACUUUCGUCCACGCAUUUAUCUAAAAUAUCUUAAAUAAUUCAGAAUAUCUGAAAAUAAUAAAAACAAAAAAUAUUUUAAAAAAUCAGGUCAAUUGUAAUCGAUACAUCAGUUACGUUUUAGAGUUACAUUGGGUCAUCUAUUCUCUCGAAAACCUUAGUGAAGUGGUGGUUAUAAAGGAGACUCAAAAAAAUCUACAAUCAGGAUAAUGCUCCGACGGCUUCUUGCGCACUACUUAGUCAACAACGAGCAACUCAUUGAAAAGCUGGCCAAUUGGGGACCUUUGCGGACUGCGGCGAGGAUGACCGUUUAUGUGUAUUUUAAAGGUAAAGCCAAACUGGAACACGUUAAUUGGGAACAAAUUUUUCGGGAACUCCGGCGACGGAUUAAGUAGAUCACCAUUUCGAGGCUACGAGUCUCGAUACGAUGGAUUCCCGUCAACUUUUGCGAUUUUAUACAAGAGUUUACUCUUGAUAAACGAAGGAGGUCGGCGUAGUAUAUGUGGACUAUUGUACAUAUAGGAGAUUAGGUUAUUAGCAAUAUUUAAUGUUGUCCGCAUAAGAAUAAACGAUAACAUCUACAAUUGGA
Varroa destructor (honeybee mite) is the source of this 648-nucleotide RNA transcript. RefSeq lists it as uncharacterized. NCBI's taxonomy places the organism in Eukaryota, Metazoa, Arthropoda, Arachnida, Mesostigmata, Varroidae. The record is from RefSeq and is a predicted model, not a curated record.